Molecule: ribosomal RNA, 273 nt
Filed under: uncultured bacterium
Lineage: Bacteria
Description: partial 16S ribosomal RNA
Rfam family: Bacterial small subunit ribosomal RNA
Source: RNAcentral
CCGCCGGCGACCGGCGCACGGGUGAGUAACACGUAUGCAACCUGGCCGUGACAGAUGGAUAACCGGGAGAAAUCCCGCCUAAUACAACAUAAUGCCGGGAGGGGACAUCCCCUGCCGGCCAAAGGGGGCGACCCCGGUCACGGAUGGGCAUGCGGCGCAUUAGGUAGUUGGUGGGGCAACGGCCCACCAAGCCGACGAUGCGUAGGGGUUCUGAGAGGAAGGUCCCCCACAUUGGAACUGAGACACGGCCCAAACUCCUACGGAAGGCAGCAG